This 630-nucleotide ribosomal RNA is filed under the name uncultured bacterium. Its description in RNAcentral is "partial 16S ribosomal RNA". The stretch from base 1 to 539 matches the Rfam family "Bacterial small subunit ribosomal RNA", at positions 338 to 873 of the family's 1533-position model. The record is from RNAcentral.
CCUACGGGAGGCAGCAGUGGGGAAUUUUGGACAAUGGGGGCAACCCUGAUCCAGCAAUGCCGCGUGAGUGAAGAAGGCCCUCGGGUUGUAAAGCUCUUUUGUCAGGGAAGAAAAGGUUGCGGCUAAUAUCCGCGACUCAUGACGGUACCUGAAGAAUAAGCACCGGCUAACUACGUGCCAGCAGCCGCGGUAAUACGUAGGGUGCAAGCGUUAAUCGGAAUUACUGGGCGUAAAGCGUGCGCAGGCGGUUUUGUAAGACUGUCGUGAAAUCCCCGGGCUUAACCUGGGAAUGGCGAUGGUGACUGCAAGGCUAGAGUUUGGCAGAGGGGGGUAGAAUUCCACGUGUAGCAGUGAAAUGCGUAGAUAUGUGGAGGAACACCGAUGGCGAAGGCAGCCCCCUGGGUCAAAACUGACGCUCAUGCACGAAAGCGUGGGGAGCAAACAGGAUUAGAUACCCUGGUAGUCCACGCCCUAAACGAUGUCUACUAGUUGUCGGGUCUUAAUUGACUUGGUAACGCAGCUACGCGUGAGUAGACGCCGUCGGGAGGUACGGUCGGCGAGAAGUUAAACGUAACGUUAAAGAAGUAGUUAGGCGUGAGACGNGCCGACGGACGACGACGAGGGAGGAGG